CCUACGGGUGGCUGCAGUGAGGAAUAUUGGUCAAUGGGCGGGAGCCUGAACCAGCAAAGUCGCGUGAAGGAAGAAGGUACUUAGUAUUUUAAACUUCUUUAGUCGGGGAACAAAGGCGGAGACGCGUCUCCGGAUGAGUGUACCCGAAGAAAAAGCACAGGCUAACUCCGUGCCAGCAGCCGCGGUAAUACGGAGGAUGCGAGCGUUAUCCGGAUUUAUUGGGUUGAAAGGGUGCGCAGGUGGGAGAUCAAGUGUGCGGUAAAAUGUCGGUGCUAAACCCCGGCCGGCCGUUGAGACUGGUUUUAUAGUGUUGGAGAGAAGUAUGCGGAAUUCGUGGUGUAGCGGUGAAAUGCAUAGAGAUCACGAAGAACUCCGAUUGCGAAGGCAGCAUACCGGCUCCAUACGGACGCUGAGGCACGAAAGCGUGGGGAUCGAACAGGAUUAGAUACCCGAGUAGUC
Molecule: ribosomal RNA, 459 nt
Filed under: uncultured bacterium
Lineage: Bacteria
Description: partial 16S ribosomal RNA
Rfam family: Bacterial small subunit ribosomal RNA
Source: RNAcentral